GACGAACGCUGGCGGCGUGCCUAAUACAUGCAAGUCGAACGCAGUGGGGACGGGUGAGUAACACGUGGGUAACCUCCCAUCAGAGGGGAUAACACUUGGAAACAGGUGCUAAACCGAUACUGAUGGAUGGCCCCGCGGUGCAUUAGCUAGUUGGGGAGGUAACGGCUCACCAAGGCCACGAUGCAUAGCGGACCUGAGAGCGGGAUCGGCCACACUAGGACUGAGACACGUCCAAGACACGUACGUGAGGCAGCAGUAGGGAAUCUGCGGCAAUGGACGAAAGUCUGACCGAUCAACGCCGCGUGAGUGAAGAAGUUUUUCGGAUCGUAAAACUCUGUUGUUAUAGAAGCGGUAUCUAACCAGAAAGCCACGGCUAACUACGUGCCAGCAGCGGCGGUAAUUC
This 403-nucleotide ribosomal RNA is filed under the name uncultured bacterium. Its description in RNAcentral is "partial 16S ribosomal RNA". It matches the Rfam family "Bacterial small subunit ribosomal RNA", at positions 28 to 526 of the family's 1533-position model. The record is from RNAcentral.